Molecule: ribosomal RNA, 440 nt
Filed under: uncultured bacterium
Lineage: Bacteria
Description: partial 16S ribosomal RNA
Rfam family: Bacterial small subunit ribosomal RNA
Source: RNAcentral
CCUACGGGCGGCUGCAGUGGGGAAUAUUGCACAAUGGGGGAAACCCUGAUGCAGCGACGCCGCGUGAGUGAAGAAGUAUCUCGGUACGUAAAGCUCUAUCAGCAGGGAAGAAAAUGACGGUACCUGACUAAGAAGCCCGGGCUAACUACGUGCCAGCAGCCGCGGUAAUACGUAGGGGGCAAGCGUUAUCCGGAUUUACUGGGUGUAAAGGGAGCGUAGAGGGCAGCACUAGUCUGGAGUGAAAUCCCGGGGCUUAACCCCCGAACUGCCGGGGAAACUGUGCGGCUUGAGUGCAGGAGGGGUAAGCGGAAUUCCUAGUGUAGCGGUGAAAUGCGUAGAUAGUAGGAGGAACACCGGUGGCGAAGGCGGCUUACUGGACUGUAACUGACGUUGAGGCACGAAAGCGUGGGGAGCAAACAGGAUUAGAUACCCGAGUAGUC